AGUUUGAUCCUGGCUCAGAAUGAACGCUGGCGGCAGGCCUAACACAUGCAAGUCGAGCGGGGACUUCGGUCCUAGCGGCGGACGGGUGAGUAACGCGUGGGAACAUACCCUUUGGUACGGAAUAGCCUCGGGAGACUGAGAGUAAUACCGUAUGUGGUCGUAAGACGAAAGAUUUAUCGCCAAAGGAUUGGCCCGCGUUGGAUUAGGUAGUUGGUGGGGUAAUGGCCUACCAAGCCGACGAUCCAUAGCUGGUUUGAGAGGAUGAUCAGCCACACUGGGACUGAGACACGGCCCAGACUCCUACGGGAGGCAGCAGUGGGGAAUCUUAGACAAUGGGCGCAAGCCUGAUCUAGCCAUGCCGCGUGAUCGAUGAAGGCCUUAGGGUUGUAAAGAUCUUUCAGUGGGGAAGAUAAUGACGGUACCCACAGAAGAAGCCCCGGCUAACUCCGUGCCAGCAGCCGCGGUAAUACGGAGGGGGCUAGCGUUAUUCGGAAUUACUGGGCGUAAAGCGCACGUAGGCGGAUUAACAAGUCAGAGGUGAAAUCCCAGGGCUCAACCUUGGAACUGCCUUUGAAACUGUUAGUCUUGAGGUCGUGAGAGGUGAGUGGAAUUC
This 613-nucleotide ribosomal RNA is filed under the name uncultured bacterium. RNAcentral describes it as "bacterial SSU rRNA". It matches the Rfam family "Bacterial small subunit ribosomal RNA", at positions 10 to 669 of the family's 1533-position model. The record is from RNAcentral.